RNAcentral lists this small RNA (131 nucleotides) under Martelella mediterranea DSM 17316. RNAcentral describes it as "Alphaproteobacterial ar14". It matches the Rfam family "Alphaproteobacterial ar14". Rfam says of the family: Smr14C2 was renamed NfeR1 (Nodule Formation Efficiency RNA) highly expressed in salt stress and during the symbiotic interaction on legume roots. The record is from Rfam by way of RNAcentral. Lineage: Bacteria; Pseudomonadati; Pseudomonadota; Alphaproteobacteria; Hyphomicrobiales; Aurantimonadaceae.
GGAAUUCGUGGGGCAUCCUCCUCCUCCUCCCAAAUGCCCCUCGAUAGGUCGGUGAUCCUCCUCCUCCUCCCAAAUCACCGGCCAACCAAAAUGACGCUCACCGGAUCCUCCUCCCCCGGUGAGCGUUAUUU